Molecule: ribosomal RNA, 253 nt
Filed under: uncultured bacterium
Lineage: Bacteria
Description: partial 16S ribosomal RNA
Rfam family: Bacterial small subunit ribosomal RNA
Source: RNAcentral
UACGAAGGGGGCUAGCGUUGUUCGGAAUUACUGGGCGUAAAGCGCACGUAGGCGGACUAUUAAGUCAGGGGUGAAAUCCCGGGGCUCAACCCCGGAACUGCCUUUGAUACUGGUAGUCUCGAGUCCGGGAGAGGUGAGUGGAACUGCGAGUGUAGAGGUGAAAUUCGUAGAUAUUCGCAAGAACACCAGUGGCGAAGGCGGCUCACUGGCCCGGUACUGACGCUGAGGUGCGAAAGCGUGGGGAGCAAACAGG